Molecule: non-coding RNA, 29 nt
Filed under: Homo sapiens (human)
Lineage: Eukaryota; Metazoa; Chordata; Mammalia; Primates; Hominidae
Source: RNAcentral
UNCAUCCUAGAGUUGGGCUACAUGAAGGC